This 3451-nucleotide long non-coding RNA is filed under the name Mus musculus (house mouse). Its description in RNAcentral is "long non-coding RNA chr3:151836504-151839955". Lineage: Eukaryota; Metazoa; Chordata; Mammalia; Rodentia; Muridae. The record is from RNAcentral.
ACACUUUGACUCAUGGAAGAGUGUUGAGGCUGUGAUUUCUGAUCUAGCCUUCUUUCACGGGGCAGAAAUCCCUGCACCAAGAUGAGGAAGGGUGCUGUCAGGUUACUGUAGCCUCCAGUGAGAAAUGCUGUACUGUUUGCUGUUUGGGUUUUUUGCCCCUAAUGUGUUGAGUCCUAAGUCCGUGCUAGCUUCAGGACCACACCACUGGAUAAUUAGAUUGUUUUCCCAGAGCAGCUUUCCCGGAGGCUGGGGAUUUGACAGCCCAGAGGCUUUAGGUGCCUGAAGGAAAGAGGCUGGCUGCCCCCUCGGUGUCUUACUCACAUUUCUACUUUCGACAGUUGCAAAGCCCACACCCCAAGGGGCCUCAGCUUGCAACAUUGCCUCUAAACCUAACCAACUUGCUGAAACUUUUUGCAAUUUCUCAAACUCCGGAGAGUUCUUUUCCCUCCCACCCUGGGGGGCGCCAAAGGUCUGCGGCAGCCGGGGUAAGGACCAUGUAGUGCAGCCAGCAGGGAAUCUCAGGGAAAGAAAGGGGUAGCCCUGUGUGCGUGCUUCUCUCCUGAGGGUGGUGGAAAUCCUUGCUACUGAGCCCCAUCCUUACAGUGAAGCCCCCAAGCCCUUCUUUCCUCAUAGCACACCACGAAUUGGGUCCAAAAUCCCUGCCAGUCUCAGCCUAUAGUGCUCUCCAGCGGGACCCCUGCAGCUGUUGCCACCGGAGUUUAUCAACCCUGGGUUCAGCUGGAGAAUCCAGGGACCGUGGGAAUCCGGCCGUGGGAAUGCAGCCACGGGGUUUUUACCUCGGCAUCCUGAGCCACUGAGUGGUUGUGUCCGGAGCAGAAGAGCGCUGAGCCCGGUGUUCCAUGGCGCAACCAGCCCUGCGCAGCCGCAACCUCGGGUUCCACCUCUCUUUCCUCCCUAGGACACUUCUGAGCACUGGAUCACCCGCAGGACCUAUUGUGUCCUGAACUCCAGAGCACCUAGAGAUGCUCCCAGCCUCUGCAGGGUGGAGGGCUGGGUGACCUCCGCCCCUUCCUCGUCUCUCUCCUCUCCGCCCACUUUCUCUGCCCGCACAGGGUGAGGCUGCUGCACGGUCCUCUGAUGCUUUGGCCACCGAGCAGCAGAAGACAACGCUUUUAGCCACCAGGCAACUACGGAAAGUUUUGCUUUAAACUCGUUUCCAAAUGAAAGAGGUCAUUUCCGAAGCUUCAAGACAGAAACAAGGAAAACCAAGGCAUGUUUAGAGCCUGGUGUGUGGGAUUGUCGGGUACAGCUUAUGGGGAAUGAAUUAAUUCCAGGUCCAACCAAAAAGGGACGCGGAAAUCUGGGUAAAGGUCUGCCAGUUUGAAAGAGAACUUCUAGCAGAUAUCCACAGGGAGUGAAUUAGAAGUUCUGGGCAACUGCUGUAAGAGGAACAGCCUUAGGCUCCACUGUCACUGGAGUGCAAGCCGGGUAAGAGUAUAAAGGGAAGUGAGAGCUGCGUUCUUAAGCACCUGCUGGCCUGGGAUUCGAGACCUUUUGGGAGCUUCGAAGUCCUUGAGAGAAUUUCUAGUGACAUCCACAACAAAGGAUAUACACCUUAUAGAUUUUGUAAAAUGUACUUUGUGUUCAAGUAAAGGCGCGCUCAUUUUUCAUUAAGAACUGUUAUUUGAGCUUGUUAAACGUAUAGUGCUGUGUGAACUUGUACAAUGUGAGUUCUUUUCACUAUGAUUGUUUUUUAGCUAAUAACAUCCACACCUCUGAAUAUGUCAUUUCCAGCGCAGCACUUGUGUGCCCCUAUUACCUCGAUUUCCCUUCUGGCCCUAGCAAAAGGUUGUCACUAGCUGUGUAAAGAGUUCUGGAAUCUGCUUCUCCAUUCCAGAGCCAGAAGGUGCUUCCAAAUUCCUGAAGAUCGAAAGGGCUCAUAAAGUGCAAAGGCAAGAUAAAAUAAAUUAGCCAUUAACUGUAGAAAAGUCCGGCUGCACACUCUCCCCCUGUGGUGGAGACAGAGCAGUUUUAAUUGAUAUUAUCAUAGCGUGUUUAAACUGUGACUUGGGUAUGGUCAGAGAGGUCAAUGUUUUGAUUAGUUGGAAAAUGCUGUGUCCCGGGAUGGCCAGUAUCCAAAGAACAACCCUGUCACAAGCCACACUGAAAAUGUGACACGGAGUGCCACUCUUUCCUUUAAUGAUUAACAGUCCUUGGUUGCAGCUCAGUGUGUUGAUGGUUUUCCUUGUGUUUCUCUCGUGGAAAUGGCCCUCUAUGGGGGGGGGGGGGGUCUUCUCUGUCAUUCCCCUGUUCUCACCAAAUCUUUGAAGUAGUGAAUUCUAGAGCCAGAUUUCGAUUUGGGAAUCUCUGCAGCUUGGAGACAGGGGCAUCUCACACCAGUGCUGUGGAACUGGGUGGGAAGGAACCAGCCUGCUCAUUCAAUGUCAAAUUGUAGCACUCAAUAAAACCAAGGCAAUUGUGAUUUCUUUUCCAAAGCACUACCGGAAUUGCAUCAUUUCUUCAAUCUAUUCUGCAUCUGUUAUUGGAAUUCCCUCUUUAGAACCCCAUUCCUUAACCAACACAUAGUUCAGACAAACUAGACAUAUUAAUAUUAGCAGGGCAAGGUGCUCUCAAAAAGUGAACAAUGAACAACUUUUAAUGUUGCUCCCAGGCCUAUGUGCCACCCUAAUCUGACUCCCAGUUCCUAGUCCCCAAAGACAGUGCUACAAAACGGGUUAAUCCACAGAAAGAAAAGCCGUCAGGCAAAAACAGAAGAGCUGAAGAUGAGAGGCUGACCAGCCUUUUUAAAAUAUAUCUCAUUUUGGUUUUAUUGCUGCAUGUGUGAAGUUGAUACGCCUAUAGAGCCACUUGUAGACACAUCCAUUCACCAGAUUCAGUGAGAAUUAGCCCUCUGCCUUCUAGGAGACAGAUAUAAAUGCUCUGUGAGCAACCAUGAAUUGCUGUAUUGUGUGGUCCCUGCCAAGAGAUGAGCGUGCUUCUGCAGUAGGCAUGUGAUGGGGUUCCCAAACCAGCAUUCUCUUUAUGUUGAAUGGAGACAAAGUUGAUGCUAGCUUUGCCUCCACUGAAGGAGACAAGAGAGGAAUGCACUGUAUGGGUGGACUUAGCCAUCACUACUCGGGAUUAGACAUGGAGCAGUUUAGACAAAAAAUGUGCACACUCCAUGACAUUGAAAUUGAAAGAAAAAAAUACUCCAUAAAAAUCAAGGAGGAAUGUUGAAAAUUGAGGUUUGGCAUUUUAAUUAAAUUGCCUGCAAAGGUUUAUUGGAAUUUGCCACUGAGAUUAAUAGAGGAACGUGCCCCAAUUUGGUUAUUAUGGAAAUUACAACUUUAGACUUAAAUUCAUGUUUAUUAUGUAAACAUUUGAUACAUAAAAAGUAAUAUACGUAAUGCAUUUGUGAGGAGUAAAUUAUAAAAAUGUAAUACAACUUACUAAGAGACUUGCUACCUAAUAAAAGAUGUUUUCGCUUCCU